This 253-nucleotide ribosomal RNA is filed under the name uncultured bacterium. Its description in RNAcentral is "partial 16S ribosomal RNA". It matches the Rfam family "Bacterial small subunit ribosomal RNA", at positions 524 to 776 of the family's 1533-position model. The record is from RNAcentral.
UACGGGGGGGGCAAGCGUUGUUCGGAAUUACUGGGCGUAAAGGGCUCGUAGGCGGCCAACUAAGUCAGACGUGAAAUCCCCAGGCUCAACCUGGGAACUGCGUCUGAUACUGGAUGGCUUGAAUCCGGGAGAGGGAUGCAGAAUUCCAGGUGUAGCGGUGAAAUGCGCAGAUAUCAGGAGGAACACCGGUGGCGAAGGCGGCUCACUGGCUCGUUUCUGACGCUGAGGCGCGAAAGCGUGGGGAGCAAACAGG